AUGCACUGGUUUGCCUGGUGGAAGCUUUGUGUUCCAAAAGAGAUAGGAGGAAUGGGGUUUAGAGAUCCUCACUGUUUUAAUUUAGCUAUGUUAGCUAAACAAAUAUGGAGAUUAAUUGAGGCUCCGCACAGCUUAUGCACAAGAGUUUUGAGAAGUAAGUACUAUCCUGAUGGCAAGAUACUCAAUCCUAAACUUAAAUCAGGUUCAUCUUUUACUUGGCAGAGUAUAUUGUCAGGGCUCAAUACAUUUAAUAAGGGAGCGAUCUGGCGUGUCGGAGAUGGUCGGCAAAUUGAUAUUUGGGAGGAUGCAUGGCUACUGUAUAGUAAUAACAGAAGGAUUUUGACGCCCAAAGGUCACUGUUUGCUAAAACAUGUCCAUGAACUGAUUGAUCCUAGUUCAGGAGUACGGGAUGCUGACUUAAUUCGAUCCAUUUUUUGGGAUAUUGAUGCAAGACAAAUCCUAGCAAUUCCGUUGAGUUAG
Molecule: ribosomal RNA, 480 nt
Filed under: Triticum aestivum (bread wheat)
Lineage: Eukaryota; Viridiplantae; Streptophyta; Magnoliopsida; Poales; Poaceae
Description: partial small subunit ribosomal RNA
Source: RNAcentral